GACGAACGCUGGCGGCGUGCUUAACACAUGCAAGUCGAACGGAAAGGCCCUGCUUUUGUGGGGUUCUCGAGUGGCUAACGGGUGAUUAACACGUGAGUAACCUGCCCUUGACUUUGGGAUAACUUCAGGAAACUGGGGCUAAUACCGGAUAGGAGCUCCUGCUGCAUGGUGGGGGUUGGAAAGUUUCGGCGGUUGGGGAUGGACUCGCGGCUUAUCAGCUUGUUUGUGGGGUAGUGGCUUACCAAGGCUUUGACGGGUAGCCGGCCUGAGAGGGUGACCGGCCACAUUGGGACUGAGAUACGGCCCAGACUCCGAAGGGAGGCAGCAGUGGGGAAUAUUGAAAAAUGGGCGGAAGCCUGAUGCAGCAACGCCGCGUGCGGGAUGACGGCCUUCGGGUUGUAAACCGCUUUCGCAUGUGACGAAGCGUGAGUGACGGUAAUGGGUAAAGAAGCACCGGCUAACUACGUG
RNAcentral lists this ribosomal RNA (468 nucleotides) under uncultured bacterium. RNAcentral describes it as "partial 16S ribosomal RNA". It matches the Rfam family "Bacterial small subunit ribosomal RNA", at positions 28 to 507 of the family's 1533-position model. The record is from RNAcentral.